RNAcentral lists this ribosomal RNA (636 nucleotides) under Lacticaseibacillus rhamnosus. RNAcentral describes it as "bacterial SSU rRNA". It matches the Rfam family "Bacterial small subunit ribosomal RNA", at positions 374 to 1002 of the family's 1533-position model. Lineage: Bacteria; Bacillati; Bacillota; Bacilli; Lactobacillales; Lactobacillaceae. The record is from RNAcentral.
GACGCAAGUCUGAUGGAGCAACGCCGCGUGAGUGAAGAAGGCUUUCGGGUCGUAAAACUCUGUUGUUGGAGAAGAAUGGUCGGCAGAGUAACUGUUGUCGGCGUGACGGUAUCCAACCAGAAAGCCACGGCUAACUACGUGCCAGCAGCCGCGGUAAUACGUAGGUGGCAAGCGUUAUCCGGAUUUAUUGGGCGUAAAGCGAGCGCAGGCGGUUUUUUAAGUCUGAUGUGAAAGCCCUCGGCUUAACCGAGGAAGUGCAUCGGAAACUGGGAAACUUGAGUGCAGAAGAGGACAGUGGAACUCCAUGUGUAGCGGUGAAAUGCGUAGAUAUAUGGAAGAACACCAGUGGCGAAGGCGGCUGUCUGGUCUGUAACUGACGCUGAGGCUCGAAAGCAUGGGUAGCGAACAGGAUUAGAUAUCCUGGUAGUCCAUGCCGUAAACGAUGAAUGCCAGGUGUUGGAGGGUUUCCGCCCUUCAGUGCCGCAGCUAACGCAUUAAGCAUUCCGCCUGGGGAGUACGACCGCAAGUUGAAACUCAAAGGAAUUGACGGGGGCCCGCACAAGCGGUGGAGCAUGUGGUUUAAUUCGAAGCAACGCGAAGAACCUUACCAGGUCUUGACAUCUUUUGAUCUCCUGA